UGACCGAAAAACGCAUCGUUUUUGAAGCAAACUUGACAGCGGUCAGCAUAAAGGGGCGGGGCUCCGUCCAACGUUCUUCCUACAAAAACCUAGAGUUGACAGAGGGCAGGCUGAGAGGAGAGCAGGUUCGGCGGAAUAAUUUUAAGAAGAACUUUAUCCCUGCUCCACCAUAGACUCCCGGGACAAGUGAGCGGCACUCAUGGAAGACUUCGUGUAUUUUCUGACCCUCACUCGACCUCUUAACUGUUUUAAAAGAAUGCUAGUCGCUGUCGGUGUUAUCCCGAAAUACAAAGAGCAGCAGAGCUGGCCCUCUGCCUGCCGCAGCUGUCCGCGGAGGACGUUAACACGGUGAGUUUAACUUACCUCUGCACUCAUUCCGUCCUCUAACUUCUUAUGGUGCCAAACCGCCUUCAAAAAAACAACGACCUUUGAGAUACCGGAACUCUCAGCACGUUUCCAUACACCGGAGAGUAGUCAUUUAGCUUUUCACGUCAUUAUAACAGCCAGUUCUUUAGGUCGGCUCAGCUGUAACAUCAAAAGCGCAGCUAGUUGCGAACAAAAAUAACUUUGAGAAUCGGUUCCUCUGUUUUCUCACACCUUACAUCCGCAUAAUGAGCCAAUGAGCGGAGUCAAGCGACAUGAGAAGCAGAAAAAGAUUUCACCGGAGAAGUUGCUAGAUAUCUGCAGGCCGAAUAUGCAAUAAUUUCUGUUAUAAUCUGGCCUUGUUCUCAUUGUGUACCCUGUAUGUCCUUAUAGACUGACACUAAAGUUUGUAGGGGGUCGGGUUUUCGUGUGAGGUUUGUUGAAGCAUCACUUGCCCAUCAGUCAUUACACAGUUGUUAAAGUUGUGCUUUUAGUAAUGCUGCUGUUCUUUGGAAUAAAUCCCAGGGAGUAAACAGAUUUAUUUCUCAAGAUGAAUACUAUUAAGAAAACCGCCUGUCUAGAUCUGCAUGUCAUCUCCCUAACUGAAUCUGUUUAUGACAGGAUGCAUUGCCAUUUCUGUUGGAUUAAAUUGUGCCUGCUGCUACUUAGAAAUAAGAAUAAUCAGAUUACACAGAGUGGUUAUAUUCAAAGAAGAAAACAGGGUCUUCAUUUUUACUAACUGGAAUCACAACUUCCAUGGGCUAUAGUGGUCUAUAAAUAUCUCUUAGUUCUGAACCUUUUAAAGUUCAAGUAGGCUACUCCAGAAAUACUAUGAAGCAGUGUAAUCAGGUCACACAUUAAUAGAACAAAGAGAUGCAGAGGAGGACAAAGCACUGUAAACUCCAUGCAGCAAAGGUUACAGGGCCCUUAUGGGAUGAUGUAUUAUAAGUUGUUAUGUUUUUGUUUUUGUUUUUUUCGCUCUAAUGAUCACCAACCAAGAGGUCACAGUUCAGUUGCACUGUCUCUGGUUUGACUCUUAAAAAGUAAUGUGUAAUCUGUAUCGGGUUGCGCGCUGUAUGAAAGCGAAGCUCUGGGGCCGGCCCAUUCACCCGGCUCUUUCCUCCCUUGGGAUGGAGGUCAGUUUGGUUCCCAGACAUGAGUGUGAGGAAGACAGAGGCACAGUGAGGAAGAAGUAAGUAUUAUUCCUACAGCACAGGAAUGAGCACAAAAAGACGUCUCAUUUUUCUGUUGUCACUGUCGCUACUUGGAUACGAUAGUCUGGUUUAGAUGUCUGCUUAUAUACCACCAUUCCUUUUUGUGCAAAAAGUUUUACAGAAGAAAGCAGUUUGGUGUAUUCACGUAAAAAGCUCACAUAAAUAUUUGAUAAAUGUAAGAAAAAUGUUGGUGUCAUGGUGUCCCUUUUCUUAAAAUGCCAGUACCAUGUAACAGCAGAGCCAAUAAUCUACUAGGAGCACUGGGAUGGUCAAGGGAUCAGUUUGUUAACCAGUAAGCUAAAUAGCCUGCUUUAUCUUUACCAGUGCUUUACAGUAGUUUCCAUGCUGUAUGCUGUGUUCCUGCUAUAGAUUACACAGGAAGUGCUUUAGUUAGCUGAAUGCACUCCACGUCCUUGUGUGCUCGCCUGGGUUUGUGUGUGCAAGUGUUUGUUAAGUGUGUGCAAUCUGGGUUGUUUGUGUUUAUCUAGGCCUCUCAGCUCUUUGUGUUUGAGGAGGGGUCUCCGGCCUUGCGGGGCUGACCUCAGGGUUACUAUGGAGACCGCAGGAGCCACUUCCUGAAUUCUCGGCCCAUCCCGCAAUACAUUACAGAGCAGGGGACCCAAACUCGAAGUGAGGACUGGACUGGACUGGAAACGAGGGAGGAAGGAAAACCUAAUUCUGUUUUAAUGGGAUUAUUCUAAGAAAUGGAAAGUAAUGGUGCAGAACUAAUAUGGACCUGAGCUGAAACAAGCUGAAUGCACUGCAUGCUAACAUUUGAAGACAAGUCUUAGCUUUAAAGUCUGCAUGAUCCUGCAGAGUCUCUGUAAAAGUGAAAAUUAAGAUGUCCAAAUUAAAUCAAAUCAGAUAAUUAGGUAAUCCCAUAAAUUUAGCAUCAGACUGCUUUCAGUACCAAAAACAGUUAUUAGUCUAUAAGCUGGCCUAUUAGAAGAAAGCAGGCUAAGAGGGAAGUAGCUAAAACUAUUGGGGAUAAACUGAAGUUGUAUAUUAAGGGUCAACUUAAGAUUUUUUUUCCCAGCUGUUUCAUGCUUAGCUACUGUAGUUGAGUCCAAGAAUACCUGUAUGAACAUAGCUACCGUUAUAUCAUCCAGGGAUUUCUAAAGUCCUGUUUUAAAGCCUUGAAUUGACCUUUUCUGCCAUUGCUUUCUUGGUCGUAGACAACCGGAUGUGACAAGGAGGGGUGUGCCUGACUGGGAAACCACACGCUUAUUGGUUAAUAACUUGUGGUUGCACACUUUUUGGCCAAUAAACAUGCGGUUUGAAUACUAUAGAUGGACCUUCAUUUUGUAACAUGGUGUAGCCAAGGUUUUUUAGCACUAACUAACUAAAUAAUCAACUUGCUCUAAAUAUUUAGCUUAGUGCUUUUCCAAAGUCUUCAUUCCGUAUUUAGUGGUGAAUUGAACAAAAUUCCAUUGUGGUGACUGUUAAGUUCCGUAUGGGAACCUUACGUUAAAUGCGGCGCAUGAUAGAAAUGCAAACGGAGAGUGUAACACUACAUUCACAAAGGGACAUAAUAUAUAUAAAGAUCAAAAGAAAUUGGGAUUUAUAUUAAAUCUUUUUUUUUUUUUAAGCAUUUAGAUGUUAAUUAUCGCUGCAAGUCUGAUGAUGUUUGUACAAAGUUUCAUUCAGAUUAUCCCACCUAUUGCAGAGAAGAUGGGUUCAUACAGAUACACAUGUAACUAUGGUCAUCAUAGUAAAGAAGAAGAUUAAUAUCAUAUGUCUGGUUUUUAUUAGGUUACAAUUUAUAGGGGAGAAAGUCAGCCGUAAACAGCACUAGAUAGAGAAAAGAAUACUUUCUGCUGGCAUUUUGGAGUCACUGAAGAGGGCUGGUUAAAGAAAUGGUUUAUUAGUAGCUUGCAAAGCUGAGCUCAGCUUAAUUUCAGUUCAGUAAUUAAUGCACAGACCUGAGAAGUACAAGUAAAUAAUCUUCUCUCACUUUUGGGAAUAAACGAAUAAGUAUUUCCAAAACUGCUGGAUCAUUUAAAACUGUAACAGUAAGUAUUUAUAUUUACAACUGCUAGCAUGUUGGUGUUGGUGUAUUUUAGCAAUGUAGACCAAAAAGUGUGUGAAACACCAGGGCAUAUUAUUACCAACUUUUCCAACUAAAGGUUCCUGAGAGUCUCUUUUGCUUUGCAGCCAAGGGUGUUGAGAAACAUUAACUCCUCAUUUUGGUCCUCUAGGAGUCAGCGAUGUUAAUAAUCAGAGGUUCUGGUUUCACGGGCCACCAGCUCUGUUAGUAUUCACAACCCUGAUCGGAAUAUCCACCGGUCCGUUAAACUGCUGACAGAGACUCCUACACGAGGCCAGGUCAUCAGAGAGAGAGAGAACUAAAGAGACAGAUCUGAAUGGCAAAGGAAGGGAGGGCCUUAAAAAAGGGCCGGAUUUGUGCUAUCAGAUAAAGAAUGGAAACUUGUAGAAAAACUCCAGCUACACUCAGUGCUGCUGUGAAGGUCGUGGCCAGGGGCGAGCCUGUUAAUGAAGGUGCAUUGUAGUCUGAUUCUGAGAGCACUUGUUUUACUUCAAUGCUAGUCGUUUGGGAGACGGUGUAUUUGUGUGAUGUGUUUUCAGAAACCUUUUGGCUUAACUGUGAAAAGCUUGACGCUUGAGCCAUGGAGUGAAGCCUGUAAAUGUAAAAUCCACUUAGCUGAGCAGUAACUAGCCAAGUGUAGGUGUCAACUUGAUAAUCCAGGAAUCCAGGUACUCGGUCACCAAUUGUACUUUUAUUAGGAGUCAGGAGUGUUCUUGGUGGAGGUGUGCGGGUUAGCCAAGGGAUAUAGUGGCGUGUACUGUAGAAUCUGGACUCUAAAGUGUUAUUGCACUUAUUGGUCACACCAUAUACCUUCUUAAUGCUUAUACGUUAGUAACUUGACUCAGAAGUGCAAUGAUACUGUAAGCAACCAGCAGUUACUAGUAUUUGUAUUUUGACCUUAAAACUCAUCCAUCAAUGCAAUUCACAGGCCUGCAACAUGUUUUUGGCCUGUAUCGGGAACAAUGUUUCAGCCACACUUUAGGUAGGAAUGUGCACCAUGUGAAGCUUGAUAGAAGCCAAAAUAUUGUAAGUAAAGUAAUUCUUCUGAAGCUUGAUAUUAACUUUAAGAAUAGGCAAUAAAGCAAUGAGAAAUCUGGUUCUCAGGCUUUCAGAGCCCAGAAAAGCUCCUCAGUUUACAUGAUUGUUAGUUAUUUAUUCUAAUUACCAGUGUAACUAUAAGUUAUCACACAGCAGUUCUAAUGUGGUCAUUUUAGUCAUCCGGUCCCUUAUCUGGGCAGAGUUAACUUUACAUUCAAUUGUCACCAAGACAGUGUCCAUUCAUUCAUCCAUCCACCCAUCCAUUUUAUGCUGCUUAUCUGGGUUUGGGUCACGGGGCCAGCAGUCCACACAGAUUUUUUUUAUUUUUUAAAAGAAAACUGAAUCAGCUUGCUGUGUAAGUUGUAUUUCUAUCACUGUCUUUGCUCUAGAGUUCUUCGGUAGAUUUCACAUCAGGAUUUAUUCAGUCAGUGAUAUGUAUCUGUCUUCUAAUGUUCCAGCUGGCAUCAGAUGCACCACAUUUACUAAUUUACAAAAUUGUCGAGUUCAGCGUGGGACUUUAGCUCUAAAAAUUUUACUCCUGCAUGUCAGAUGACUACUUAUAGAAAAAGAUAAUUUAUGGCACGACUAAAAAAAAAAAUUGUUGUUGUUUGUCCAGAGUAUUGUAGCAGAUUUCAGAUUUACAGAUCUGACUGAUUUGACAAAAGAGCUACAAGAAAUAGAUGACUAGCAAGACCAAAAAAACCCCAAACAAACCUCAAACCCCUAGUUUUAAUCAAUACAAUAAGUGAAGUUUCAUCUCCUCUAAAAAGUCAGCAACAAAUCUUCUAGUGUACGUUCUCUGGCAACUGAACAAAUGAGAAGCUGCUGGACUUCAAACGCUCACUUUGGCACAAUACACUGCUAAGGUCAUCUGAAGUGCGUGUCCUUGAUCUACUGUACCUUCUAAUGGUGUUUGACCUGGCUCACUGUGGCUUUCUCAUUGUGCUGGUGUAUUUGUGAUGUCAGAGAAGUGCCUCUCGAGUGCAUGAAAGAAUGUGCAGACACAGAGUUUGCUAUGCUUUAAAGGUUUCCUCUGUAGCAUUUUUAAACAUCCAUGUAUCACCUCUAAACUGCCCGUCACCUUGGAAUAUUUACUGUACACAGAUCAGGCCAUGAUAGAUGGCCUCUGCCUUAGAACACUGAUGUUUUUAGUGCUGGAAGUCUUGCAAAUUCUAGAAUCUAUUUUUCUUCAUUCUGCUCAUCCCUGUUAUGUACUUUUAGUCAAAAGUAUUUUGCUGUAUAUAAUUUAAUUAUACUUCCUUUGCUAAUAUGGCUGAGGACAGGUUCCUGACCUCCUGUUACCUGUCUUCAUAUGGAGUAGUCUGGUAGCCCUUGCUCCACCUUCAUCCUUAUCUUACUGUUUCGACUGCCAAAUAUCAUUUAACCCUUUAAAAUAAAGUGAUAAAAUAAUUUACUGCCAUACUCUCUCAUUCAAAUUGUACGCUUCUCUAUACCCAAACCCUCGGUGUAAAUUCUAGUUUUGAAACCACUAAACUAUUCAAAGGUGUGGCAGUGUCCAUUUUGUUUCCAGCUUUUCCAAACAAUAAAACUGCAAAAGAGCUUAGUUUUUCAAAGGCCUUUUCUUCGUGUUUAACCAAAUGCCGGCUUCAUUUUGGCAGCGAGCUGUGUCAGGAGUUUAUCUUCUGGAUUUUACGAAAGCCAAACUGAAAAGCAGCCCGUAGUCAUGCACUGCUUUAGACGAUAAGACAGGAGGCGUCUGACAGCCUGGUUUUAGAAUUGGAUUUUACUCUUUGUGCUGUUCUCUACCGAACGCCAAAAUGUCAAACUAUUGCUACAUAAAGUUGAUACAAAAAUCGCAACCAUAUUUCUAAAUGUCUUGAUGGAUGCUCAAUCAUCCAGGUAAGGAAAUCCUGAAAAGCUGGACAUAGUGUUUUCCGUGGGAUACGCUACGUCCAGAAUCAACUUUUUGGGCAUAUUUCUAAAUGUUAGCUCUAAGUACUUUUCCUGUAUCAUGUCUACAAAACUUCAUUUUCACAUGAAUUUCCUAUUCCCCAUUUUCUCUACAACUUUAGACCACUGAUAGAAGGUUUUUGGUUGGAAAUGAUAUUCAUUCUGCUAUUCUUGGAUAUAGGUAAAGGGCACUCACAAUGCACUACUACACAAUUACACAAAGACAUUCUUGCAAAUACAUUUUUCAAACAACAUUCACAAUAGAACAAUAGGAGCUGUUUUCCUCCCAUUUCAAAAUCUGCUCUUGGUUUUUAGAUCAUCUGGCAGCCUGUUAGGCAACAGUACAGAUUGUAUUCAAACCUACAGUAGAUGCUGUGAGGAAAGAUCAGUAGUGCGUACACUUUUUAUUUCUCCUGCCUUCCUCCUCUGUCUUCCGCCUGCCUUUCUCUCGCUCUCUCGCUCUCUCGCUCUCUCUCUCUCUCUCUCUCUCUCUCUCUGCUCUGUUUUUAGCUGGUUGCCAAGUGCUAAGAAUCUGGGGAAUGCAGGAUUGCAAUGUCCUGAUAAAGUUUGCUUUGUUCCCCAAAGUGACCUGAGUGAGAGAGGGAGGACUAGCCAUAAGUCCACAUACACACAUAUACAGUCCACAUACAUGCAUGCUUGCACAUGAGCAGUUUGUUUUUCUCCAAAAGGACACUGGAGUGCGGAAAGCAAUAGUAACCAAAACUUACGGUAGUGUAAAGCAGGUGCGCACACACGCGCGCACACACGCGCGCACACACACACACACACACACUAUAUAUAAAUGCAGACACGGCUCGAGGCCAGUAGCAUGUACUAUUGCGUCAGCAGAAUUCAUGAAACGCUGUCUUUGUCUUGCAUUGUUAAACCAUCCAUUUACAACAGACAGAUUUCUCCUUUAAGGGUUAACAUGAUAUUUCAUUUCUUUUAACCCUAUAAUUUUCUUUGUGGUCCAGUGGAGGCAGCUUGUGUGUCACUGGUAUGACUUAAAUGACAGAAUCUGCUCAAAAUGUGAGGAACAAUCUUUGUGCUAGUGGCUAAAUUACUAUAAAAGUAAACAGGUUACAGCUUGAAGGUGUGAUAAGAAAAUAAAAAAGUUGUUAUGUACAUGCACAACGGAAAUGAUUUCCUGUUUUAUUUUUACUCAGCUAGUUAGCAGUGACCGAGCAGCAAGCUUUUAACAUCCAACAAAUCAAUGAAAACUCAGUCAGGGUUAGGGCUAAGGGGAGUGUUUGCCUUAGCUACAUGCUAAAUUAGGCGAUUUCUAGAAACUAUGAGAUUCAUAAUUUUGUCAUUACAGAAAAAUGGUCUAAAAAGACGUUAAACCAAUCAUAACCCUAUCCAUAGAUGGCUCACCAAUGAUGGUUGUCUUCCCUGCUGUAGCAUUCUCAUAGCAAGGAAAACGACAUUCACAAGGCAAAAAGAGCACUGUUUAGCUUUCUAUGGUCUUGUGCUCAGUCUUACUGAAUUGACACAAAUAUUUCUGCUUAUACGUUAUUAUCUUGUGGAAAGUCAGUAUGUACAGCAAAACCUGUAACUUCAAUCUUGGUUUAGGAAUUUAAGAAAUUUCAUUUAACCACAUUGUUAAGUAAAGUAGACAUGCUCAGUAUGCAUGUAAUGUCUCAUUCAGUGUCUGUAUGAUGUAAAUAUCAUCAUGCAUCCAUCUCCACAAGCUAAAAAAAGCUAACAAAACAUUUAAGUGUCCUCUUUUUGACAUAAUAAACAACACAGCUGUUCUUUUUGAACAUCAUGAGGUUGCUAUUGUGUUUUUUGAGUACAGUGUGAUGCUGUAGACAUUCUUCAGAUUGUGGUAUGUAUAGAAGUACAUGCAAAUCUGUAGCUGUCCACAACAACAUUAAUGACAUUAUAGAAAAUGACAGCUGGCAUGUUAUAUUUGAUUUAAGCCAACUGAGAAGUGGCAAAAACUCCAGUUCCUCUAAUGGUCAUGUGCAAAAACAAUGUCAAUCCCACAGUUCUCAAAAUGCCCAACUUUGCAAUAAUAAAACAAUAUUGUUAAUGUAGCAAACAGUGGUUCAGGUCACAUGUUUGGAUUUUUAAAGGCUUACAGUUAGGGGUGUGGUUUUGACUGACAGGUGUUCAGACAUCUAAACAUUUUGCAGCAUUUUUUUAGAAGAUGUUUGUGUCUUUGAGUUAGGGCUUCAUACCCGUACACUUUACAAAAGUAGCUUGCUAACUGAGCUUGCUAGCGUUAGCAGAUAACAAGCACACCAUGCGUUCGUCACCGAAUCCAGAGUCCAAAAGUAAUAAUUGCCCAUCUUUUAUAUACAGUCUAUAGCUCUAUAAAGAAGCCUGGUCUUUCUAACAUGCACAAGCCGCUAAAAUAGACCAAUGAUUGGUGUUAGUUAUAUGUAGUAGCAAAUGUCAAGAACUCCAAGUGACUUUACUAAAACUGGGUUAAAUGUAAAUGGUAAAGAUUGAUUUACAAUAACUUAACACUUGAGGUCUUUGUUAUUGGAGCAGAGGGAGGGAACCAUGGUGAAGCAGCAUUCCUGUCUUUAUCUCAGUGCAGGACACAUGUGAUUACAUGCACUCUUGCUCUUUCACUCUCAAUCUCUACCAGUUGCACACGCACACACACACACGGGCACAUUCAUGCUCUCAAAGCCAUGUACACUCAUUUACAUGUACUCUGCUGUCUUUCUAACUCUGUCUCUCUAUCUCUCACUCACACACACACACACACACACCACACACACACACACACACUCACACACAACGAAUGCCAUUCCAUUAUUGUAUGUAUGGAGAAAAAGUGGAGGAGAGAGGAAGAAACAGGAAGUAGGCGUUUGGGUUGGGGGAGGAGGGUCAGAGAGGGCACUAUGGGAGUCCUGCACAUUUAUUUGCGUGUGAAGAAGUAAUUAGAUUUGUGUGUGUGUGUGUGUGUUUCUGUGUGUGUGUGUGAGUAUGUGUGUGUGUGUGUGUGUGUGUGUGUGUGUGUGUGUGUGUGUGUGUGUGUGUGUGUGUGUGUACAUAUGCUGAGCUGUGGGAGUGUGUAUGGUAGCUAAACAGAAAUGCAGGGUUGUGUUUACAUGGUAAAUAGUGUGUUUGUGUGUGUAUGUGUGGGUUGGGAGUUAAGGUUGUGGAAUGUCACAUGCUGAUAGAAUGCUUACUGGACAACAAAGGCAGGGCAGCAAAACAUAGUGGAGACCAGUAAUUAUGCUGGUCUGCGCUGCUCAGCACUUGAGUCAGCAUAGAAUGAAGGCUGUAAUGUAUGAACUUUGCUGGGGAGGUCCAUCAUCAGGUGUUUUCUUUGAAAACUUAUCUUGCAUCUAUGUCACUGUCAUGGGGGUUGCUGUUAACUCUCACAAAGACUAGUUUUACAAAAAAGUGUGUAGCGAUAGGUCAGCCUAAGUUGUGGUCUUAGAUUAGAUCCGAGUUAGACAGUGUCAUGAAAAGUAAAGCCAGACUUUUCAUUUACAGCCUAAAUUUGACAGCUUCUGUUGUCAUGGAUGACUUCAGCCUCUUAGUUACAUCAUUGGUAAACUGACCAAAAUAAACUGCUUCGCAUAUGCAUACUAAAAAUCUGACAUAUAUGAAUUUAGUUGUACAGCCAGUUGGCAUUGAGUCACAGUAACAUAUAUUUUCACACCUUAUCAUCAAAUCCUCUGAUAUUGCCCUCUCCUCUUUCUCUUGUCUCCAUAUAAAAGUGGAGUGGGACCUUACCAGCUCCGGCUUUUUUCGCACAAAAUCAAAAAUGAUCUUACUUAACUUUUUGUUGGUUUGGGUGGGUAAGAUGAUGUGUUUGCGGCACUGAUCCCAGCUCGAGCACAACUUUACAUUCACCCUGAACUUGUGUGGAUGAUGGAUUAUACCCUAAACAGGGCGAGGCUGUGUGGAAGUUUGAGAUGUCAGAAAGACUGGAAGUGACACAGACACCGCUGUUGCCUUUCAGUCCAAGUUGGCAGGAGGACAAAAAGAAAUCUUCCCAGUAGAGAUGUGUACUCUUACGCUGAUAAUGUGUCCAGUCCUUUGUUUUUAAGACUCACUCCACAAUCAUGAGACUUUCAGGUGAUGACACUUGAGUGCAUAACUGUGAGGAUCAUUCUCAUUUUAUUAGUAAGGUUGAAAGGCACAUGAUGUGUGCUUUGAAUUAUUUCCAGUGCAGAUCACUCUGAUUCAAGCUUGUAUUUUUAAGUGACUGUUGAUUGGCUAACGGAAAUGUUUGUGUGUUCAUAGAUUCUUCAUCCUCUCCGGGCCGGUUGGCAGUCAGGGCUACUGUAAACAUCCUUGACUGGAAGCUGGUGUUAGUUUCUGGGGCUUUCAGUCGGAUGUUUGCAGCAGCCAACUGCUAGUACCAUCACUGCGACAGGAGUGAAAACAGCUGUAAGUAUAGUGACUGAACUGUCAUGAACAAUAUAAGGGAAAGAUCAGACAUAAAGGAGAACAUUGUCAAAGGAAGGUUAUGGUUUAAACUGAGUUUGAAAAAUGGUGCUAAAAUGAGUUCUGUGGGCAACUAAGAAAGCCAAGAGGUAAAAUGAACUAUUCUAGGGAAUAAGUGGGCCUGUAAAUGGACCACUCCUCAGAGAUGAGCUGACUCUUCUGCUUGGGAACACAGGAACAUAACUGCAUCCUAACCAAAUGAGAGGACCCUGAACCUAUAAGCUAAUGCGCAAAACGAUUUAAAGCAAAGGGGGGAAAGGCAUAGAGACUGCGACAAAACUCAAUACGGAGAAGCCAUGUGCCCCCUGUGCUAGGACAACAGGUGGUUCGUUCCAAAUUCAGUUCUUUCUGUUUCAAACAGCUCCACCUCAACUUCAUAAAAGCAGCACACAGGUGAAGACAUGAAAGUUUUUCUAAAUCAGUGACAAGACGCCAGUGAGGAUGGUGUGAGUAAUAUUAAAUAACAUUAACCAAAUGACUAAGUAUACUUUUUUUAAAAGAAACUUAAAUGGAGUAAUGAUGUUGGAAUGUUUGAAACCAUAAAACUCUGUUUAAUUAGUGCUAUGAAUGGCAGAUGAUACAGAGUUUGCUGAAAGCUAAACUGUUAUCAGUGAUUGGCUGAUUUGGGGGGAAAAAGGACCGUUUCCCCACUGUCAUGUUCCCACAUUGUUUAGGAGUGUUUUGAUUAACGGGGUUUUGGAUCCAUUUUCAGGCACUAAUGGUAUUUUCAGCUCCCUCAUUGUGUAUAUGAAUCUGUGUAAACUGUGAUCUAGACAGGUGAUCAGGUCACUCUGCCAGAGAGCAACGCACACGGUCUAAGAGGUGAAACCAUCACAGAAAUGUGUAUUGUAUGGCUGUGAAGAAAUGAAAAACAUUUCAGAAAACUUCAUACUGCUUUUUUUUUUUUUUUUUUUUUUUUUCUUUUUGUAAAGCUGUAAGGUGGUUACUAAGUAGCACGCUUAGCAAAAAUACAAAAAACUGUGCACCAGUGUGAAACGGCUGGCUUUGAUAGCUGUCUCCACUCAGGCCAUUCAAUUCCCAGUGGAUGGGAGCGGCUUCAUCCUCUCUUGAGACGAGGGCUGGGGGGAGGAAUGGGGAAGAAUGAAAGGAAGGAGUGGGGUUGAAAGGAGAAAAGCAGGGAUAGAAGGUGAGGAUGAAGAUGAGACGAGGGGUGGAAGAAGAUGUAGGAGUGGUUAAAGUUCAGAAAAUUUGACUUAAGGGUCUAAGAGUGUGGUGGGGUUUUUUUUUGUUUUGUUUUUUUCCUUCUUAAAUUUUUUUAAGAUAAACCAUGUCAUCAGAGCUGAGGGGAAAUGGGUGUAACACAGACUAGAGGGCCACAGACAGGGAAGGAAGGAAGCUUUCUAAUAUUACAAACUGCCCCCACCCCCACAUUCAUCAUACAUGAAUGAAAACAUGCUGUGCUGCUUGUCGUUUCUGUCUAAACAGUCUCAGCGUUCCUUCCUUGGUGCUGGAAAACCCAGGAAAUGGGCCUAUUCCACUCACAAAAGCCCCCCCUGCAUAAAAUAGGGUCUCACCAACGAACUUAAAGAUGACGAAGCUGCAUGUUUGUUGCUGCACAAGCUUCUGUGCUAAACUGGAGGAUAUAAUUGUAACUCUGCAGACUCACCGGUAAAGCUAUGGACUGUGUUUGCAAGUAUUAAUACUGUCAAACUGAGAGUUAAAAUAAGAGUUCAAAAUAAUUUGCUUAUGAAACGAUAUAGUUUAGUGUGCUUUACAAAGGGGGCAGGGUGCCGCAGUGGUUAGCAAGACACGUUGGCUUAAUUGGCGAGUGUAAACUGGCUGCAGGUGUGAGUUGUUUGUUAGCCCUGUGUUAACCAAACGUGCUUCACCCUGAAUGUGAUUAUGUGAACCCGUUCACAUAAUGAGUACUCAAUGUUUUGGCAUGGAUGUGAUGUUGGAAGAACAGCAAGGAUACUUCUGUUUUCUUGCCUGUUAGAAGUGUAUGUAUGGGACUGAAACACAAGGAAGCAGGAAGUGUAAGUUGGUGCUGUGAAAAGUAGUGCGUUCUGUAAAGCGUUCUGAACUACCUCACUUCUGAAUUGUGAUGUCCAUAUCAAUUUGCCUUGACAAGGGAUUUUUUUUUUUUUUUUUUUUGAGAGAAUAAAGAAUAAACACUGAUUUUAUUUUCUGUGAUUUGGAAUUUCUGUUAAUAUGGUAUUAAAAUUAAACAUUGUCCACCCUGACAUUUCCUUCUGACCUCUGAGAUCCAGGAAGUGUAAACAUCCUACACUCUCGGCAUCUGCCCUCUGGUGGCCGGGAGUGGGACUGUUUGCACUCUCCGGCUCAGGAACUCUCCAAACAGCAGAGGAAAGUUGACACUUCACAUCUAAAUCCAGACUGUAGAUUGUAUCAAAUUCAUAUGAUAAAUAUUAAUCCUGAAUGUGUUCUGAAAACUUUGAGUUUGCUGAUAUAUAAAAGUUUUUCUUUAUACGAGUCAACAGCUGAGCCAUGGACCUACUACUUGCUUUCAACAGGAGUGUUUUUGUUUUGUUUUUUUGUUUGUUUUUUCUUUUUUCUUUCUCCAUUUUAGCUUCAUAAGAACCUCAUUGGUGUUAAUUUGAACUGUCUGUACAAAUGAUGGAAGUCUGUGUAAAUAAAAGGCUAUUAAAGUUUCAACUAAAGGACUAGUGUGAUUCCUUCAACCUCAGCUGCUGUGAAUGCUUAGCAUUUGGGACAGGAAAUGGGGAGCGGCUGACUUCUGAUUGGUUGUUUUCCCUGACCCAGAGACCCUGGUCAUGCCUCUCCCACUGGGGCUGGGGGUGACUCUUCAGAGCAUGUGACCGAGUCCAGAGAGUAGAAUAGAAAAAUGAGUUUUCCAUAACUCUCUUUAGGUACCAAAACUCUUUCAGCACUAGAAGAUGAAGUGAAAGUCUACAUAAAUCACCAUGUUGUGUUUUCGGACCUAUUCAUUUUCAUUUAGAGGAAGCAUUCAGUGCAUUUUCUGUACUUAAACUUGACUGUCAAUCUACACCUGGGGGGUGGACAAUUUUACAGGAUGGUGAAGUUUUAUUAUUGUAGGUCUUUACAUUACAAUAUAAUGCGGAGAAAACCUCAAGAGUCAAACAAUGUACAAGCACGUUAGAGACAGUAGAAAUGGGGAAAACUCAUGACAGAAAGAAACCUCCAGUAGAACCAGGCUGAGGGAGGGGUCUGUCACGACCAGUUGGGAGUGAUGGCAGGAAGAGAGCCAGAGGUUAAUAACAAACUCCCCUACCUAUAUGCUUUACCAAAAAAGAACAUUUUAAACUUGGACACCUACUUUUAGGAUUGUUUCAGGAAUCCAAACUGGGAGCUGCUUCCAUAGAAGAGGGCUGUGUAAGCUGAAGGCUCUGCCUCCUAUUCUACUUUAAAGUACUCUAGGUUCAACAAGUAAACCUGCAGUCAGAGAGCAAAGUGCUCUAUUAGGGUGAGAAGGAUUUUAAAUUUGAUUCUGGAACAGGAAGCCAAUUAUGCUCUCUAACUCCUGUCAGGACCGUUAAUGCAGUGCUUUCUUACUUUGCAGUGACCAGUACUCCGGUUUUAGCACAAGUAAUAUGAAAACUUUUUCUAAAUGUAUUUUU
This is a long non-coding RNA of Haplochromis burtoni (Burton's mouthbrooder), 14573 nucleotides long. RefSeq lists it as uncharacterized. The record is from RefSeq and is a predicted model, not a curated record. The transcript is spliced from 2 exons. NCBI's taxonomy places the organism in Eukaryota, Metazoa, Chordata, Actinopteri, Cichliformes, Cichlidae.